GAAGUGGAUCGGAUGACCGCUGGCUGCCCUCGGGUGGCGAGAGGAAAGUCCGGGCUCCGCAGGACAGGGUGGUGGGUAACGCCCACCGGCCGCAAGGUCAGGGAAAGUGCAACAGAAAGCAAACCGCCAGGGCUGUUCGACAUGUCCGGCCCUGGUAAGGGUGAAACGGUGAGGUAAGAGCUCACCAGCAGGUUGGGUGACCAGCCUGGCUCGGCAAACCCCACCCGGAGCAAGGCCAAACAGGAAGGACGCCCGCCGGCGGCGGACGCAAGUCGGCUGCCAGCGCGCGCACGGGCUUGUCCGGCCCGGUUGACUUCCGGGUAGGCUGCUCGAGAAGCCGAGCAAUCGGCUUCCUAGAGAAAUGGUCAUCGGCCGGGCGCGCGGCAACGCCGUCCGGCGACAGAACCCGGCUUAUAGAUCCACUUCUUGU
RNAcentral lists this RNase P RNA (430 nucleotides) under Planctomycetaceae bacterium. Its description in RNAcentral is "RNase P RNA component class A". It matches the Rfam family "Bacterial RNase P class A". Rfam says of the family: Ribonuclease P (RNase P) is a ubiquitous endoribonuclease, found in archaea, bacteria and eukarya as well as chloroplasts and mitochondria. Its best characterised activity is the generation of mature 5'-ends of tRNAs by cleaving the 5'-leader elements of precursor-tRNAs. The record is from RNAcentral. Lineage: Bacteria; Pseudomonadati; Planctomycetota; Planctomycetia; Planctomycetales; Planctomycetaceae.